Long non-coding RNA from Melitaea cinxia (Glanville fritillary), 133 nucleotides. RefSeq lists it as uncharacterized. The record is from RefSeq and is a predicted model, not a curated record. The transcript is spliced from 2 exons. Lineage: Eukaryota; Metazoa; Arthropoda; Insecta; Lepidoptera; Nymphalidae.
UGCCUCUAUCUUGUGUAGAAAAAUCAGGAUUGAAAAGAUUUAUGAGCGUCAUUUGUCCACGCUAUAAAAUUCCAUCACGAACUACUAUAACUGGCCUCAUGGAACAACGAUACGCCACUACCAAAGCCAUUUU